This 492-nucleotide ribosomal RNA is filed under the name uncultured bacterium. RNAcentral describes it as "partial 16S ribosomal RNA". It matches the Rfam family "Bacterial small subunit ribosomal RNA", at positions 29 to 507 of the family's 1533-position model. The record is from RNAcentral.
AGUGAACGCUGGCGGUAGGCCUAACACAUGCAAGUCGGACGGCAGCACAGUAAGAGCUUGCUCUUACGGGUGGCGAGUGGCGGACGGGUGAGGAAUACAUCGGAAUCUACUUUUUCGUGGGGGAUAACGUAGGGAAACUUACGCUAAUACCGCAUACGACCUACGGGUGAAAGCAGGGGAUCUUCGGACCUUGCGCGAUUGAAUGAGCCGAUGUCGGAUUAGCUAGUUGGCGGGGUAAAGGCCCACCAAGGCGACGAUCCGUAGCUGGUCUGAGAGGAUGAUCAGCCACACUGGAACUGAGACACGGUCCAGACUCCUACGGGAGGCAGCAGUGGGGAAUAUUGGACAAUGGGCGCAAGCCUGAUCCAGCCAUACCGCGUGGGUGAAGAAGGCCUUCGGGUUGUAAAGCCCUUUUGUUGGGAAAGAAAAGCAGCAGGUUAAUACCCCGCUGUUCUGGCGGUACCCAAAGAAUAAGCACCGGCUAACUUCGUG